Long non-coding RNA from Folsomia candida, 475 nucleotides. RefSeq lists it as uncharacterized. Lineage: Eukaryota; Metazoa; Arthropoda; Collembola; Entomobryomorpha; Isotomidae. The transcript is spliced from 3 exons. The record is from RefSeq and is a predicted model, not a curated record.
AGUGAAGAAAUUGGAGGUGAGCGUCGUGCUGAAGUCGUGUCGGGGUUGGGCUGCGUUAAAACAUUUGAAGAUAACCAUGUGGGAAUAUCCGGCAGAAAUGGUGGAAUUUAUCGAGGGGCUUUUACAAGGCAGGGAAUUGUUUAAACGGCUAGCAACGUUAGAAAUUGUGACGCUCCGUUUUCGUUGGGAUAACGGGAGACACUUAACACGAAAUUUUACCGAAGAUGAGAUAGUUCUGUUUAAGCAACUGUUGGCGGGCUUAACUUAAAUCCAGAAUCUACGAAUAUUAUAAUGGAUUUCAUUGCAUCGAAUAAGAUGUCGUCGUCCAAAUUCAGGAUGAUUCCGGGGGAAAUAUGGUAACGAGUAGUAAUGUAUCAAGUGUGUUUGUAAUGAAAUGUACAUAUUAGCAAGUACUAAUUUUCUGGGUAAUUCGUACUUCGUUUUUUAUUAUGAAUUGAGCAAGCAUUGUAUUUUC